AUCUGCGAUGGCAGAGCUGUGACUCGGCGUUUUGAGUCACCUCUCCAGCCAGCUUUUUAGAAUUGCUGCUUCAUUUGGAGAUGGUCGUUUUUUGCUACAUAGCAAUUCUUCAUUUUUCAUGUACAGAUAAAGGCUAAAAAGAAAAUGAAGAAGCCCUUUUGUCCAUACAUGAACAAGUUUUUCAAUUACAGGAUGGAACUCGGGACCUUGCACUUGUGAGGCAGGCAGCAGAACUACUGAACUAAAUCCCCAGCCCUUAUUUUUGUUUUGUUUGUUUGUUGUUUUUUGGUACCAGGGAUUGAACUCAGGUCCUUGUGCUUAUUUUUGUUUUUUGAGGCAGGGCCUCAUUAUGUAGUUCAGGCUGGCCUCAAACUCAUGCCAGUCCUCCUGCCUCAGCCUCCUGAGUGCUAGAAUUAUAGGCAAAACCCUGUCUCAAAAAAAAAAAUUAAGUUGUAAGCUGUUAUAAAAUUGGGGCUGGGAAUUUAGCUCAGUGGUGCCACUGCCUGCCUUGCAAGUGCAAGGUCCUGAGUUUUAUCCCCCAUACCAAAAAAUGAAUAAAUAAAAUGAAAUGAAAUUGGGGUGAGAUGAGCACUUAAUGCUAAGUGUAAAUUAGACACCAGUUUAAAUAUCACGUGGUUUCUCUUAUAUGAGAAGCUCAAUAUAUAAGUAAAAUGCAAAAUAAAAGACAAUAGGAAAAAAGAGAGAAAAGAAAGUUACUGUAGGCCAGGCCUGCUAUCCAGCACUCAGGAGGCUGAGUAGGAGGAUUGCUAAGAAUUCCAGGCCACCUUGAGCUACAUAGUACAAGGUCAGCCUGAACUACACAGGGAGAUGCUGUCUCCAAAGAAAGUUAUUGUAAUUCAACAUGGACAAUAUAUUUAAAAGUGUACUUUGAUUUAGUAUAAUCAUUUCAUGUAUUAUUUAUUUAGGUUUGAGACAGGGUCUUACUGUGUAGCCCAGGCUGGCCUUGAAUUCAUGGUGAUCUUCCUGCCCCAGCCUCCCAAGUGCUGGCAUUAUAGGCAUAAACCACCAGGCCUGGCAAGUGUUUUAUAUGUUUUUUGGCCGUUAGUCUGGAUGUUAAUCUUUACAUAUGAUAAUUAACUUUAUAAGGACUUACAAGAUAAAUAAAUGAAUCUGAUUCUGACAAAAAAGGGGGAGGAUGGAGAAGGGAAAAAAAGAAUUAAGGUGUGUAACCAUACCUGGCCAAUUCCCCACAGUGAAUGUAAUCAUUAUGUACUGCAAACAUGUACUAAUAAAAAUUAAAAAUAUUGGAGUGAGUCAUUUAUGAAAUGCAAAUUAAAACAACACUGAAAUUUUUAAAAAAACAUCGAGAUUCCAUCUCACUCCAGAAAGAAUGGCUGCUAUCAAGAAAUUAACCAAUUGGGCCGGGGAUUUAGCUCAGUGGCACCACACCUGCCUCGAAAGCACAAGGUCCUGGGUUUGAUCCCAGGUACCAAAAAAAGUAGAAAUCAACCAAUAACAAAUGCUGGCUUCAUGGCCGAAGGAAGCAGAGGGUCAAGGGAGGAGCAGGGGGAGAUAGAGUCUCCCUGGUCACCCCAACCUGGGACCUGCCUCUUCCAACCAAGCCCCACAUCCUAAUAGCUAUAAGGACCUAAAUCUAAUCACCUUCCAAAAGCCCCACCAAGGGCCCCGAGUGGUGGUACAUGCUUAUAAUUCCAGCACUCCAGAGGCUGAGGCAGGAGAAUCCCUGGGAAUUCAGGGCCAGCCUGAAGGGUAUAGUGAGACACUGUGUCAACCUCUGCCCAGCAAAAGCCCUGCCUAGGAUUGCACAAGGCUUUAGGGGGACAUCUAGACAUAAACCGUAACACUGCCAGGCUACCUGGGUGCAGGGUUCACGAACAAGACUGUGGUUGUGAGCUGAUCACAAGCUUGAAAAUCAGAAUCCAUAUUUAGGUACAAAAGAAAAUGUCUUCAACUGGGAAAGAGAAACAGAAACACAGUAAGCAUGAAGGCAGCCAGUAAAUGUUGCUUGGAAAGGAAUUGCUUUUAGAGUUGAGUAAAAUAAGGUGUUUUUUUUGUUGUUUUUUUUUUGGUACUGGGGAUGGAACUCGGGACCCUUGUGCUUUCAAG
Molecule: long non-coding RNA, 2088 nt
Filed under: Heterocephalus glaber (naked mole-rat)
Lineage: Eukaryota; Metazoa; Chordata; Mammalia; Rodentia; Bathyergidae
Description: lncRNA (ENSHGLG00000044981.1)
Source: RNAcentral